This 589-nucleotide small RNA is filed under the name Pongo abelii (Sumatran orangutan). Its description in RNAcentral is "processed transcript". The record is from RNAcentral. Lineage: Eukaryota; Metazoa; Chordata; Mammalia; Primates; Hominidae.
ACAUUCACUACACCUUUUCCAUUUGCUAAUAAGGCCCUGCCAGGCUGGGAGGGAAUUGUCCCUGCCUGCUUCUGGAGAGAGAAGAUAUUGACACCAUCUACGGGCACCAUGGAACUGCUUCAAGUGACCAUUCUUUUUCUUCUGCCCAGUAUUUGCAGCAGUAACAGCACAGGUGUUUUAGAGGCAGCUAAUAAUUCACUUGUUGUUACUACAAUAAAAACAUCUAUAACAACACCAAACACAGAAUCAUUACAGAAAAAUGUUAUCACGCCAACAACUGGAACAACUCCUAAAGGAAAAAUCACCAACGAAUUACUUAAAAUGUCUCUGAUGUCAGCAGUUACUUUAACAAGUAAAGAUGAAGGUUAUAUUUUAAUUUUGUUGAUAGUAUCUUUUGAAGCCUGAAGAUUCAGAAAGCUGCAGUGGACCCAACCACCAAACAGUGACCAUGACCUUUAUUUGUUGCAAGUUUGGCUUUGGGAAGUGCUUUGGAGCUUUUUCUCAGUCCAAUCACUGAACUAGUUGUUGCCAGUUGUCACUUUUUGUCGCACAUCACAAUCAGAUCAAGAAAUGGUUUGUGGUGUAGAAU